GAUGAACGCUGGCGGCGUGCCUAACACAUGCAAGUCGAGCGAAAGGACCAGGAGUUUGCUUGUCUGAUGUUAGCGGAGGACGGGUGAGUAACAUGUGGAUAACCUACCUGUAAGACUGGGAUAAUUACGGGAAACGGGAGCUAAUACCGGAUAAUAUUUUGAACCACGUUGUGCAAAAGUAAGAGUCGGUCUUGCUGGCAGUAAUAGCUGGAUACGCGCUGAAUGAUCUGGUGGGUAAGGAAACGGCUUACCAAGGCUACGAGGCAUAGCCGACCUCAGGGAGGGGUCGCCCACCUGGGAAGUGAGACGGCGCCCAUACUCCUGCGCUAGGCAGCAGUCGGGAAUCGUACGCAAUGGGGGAGAGCCUGACAGAGCAACGGGGCGGGAGUGAUGACGGUGCUCGGAUCGGAAAGCUCUGUUAUUAGUAAAGAACAUAUGUGUAAGUAACUGUGAAGAUAUUGACGGUACCUGGUCAAAAAGCCCCGGCUAACUACGUG
Molecule: ribosomal RNA, 497 nt
Filed under: uncultured bacterium
Lineage: Bacteria
Description: partial 16S ribosomal RNA
Rfam family: Bacterial small subunit ribosomal RNA
Source: RNAcentral